CUGGAAAAAUGGCCGAAGUGAUGCUGCAGAUGCCGCAAGGCAGUGGAGCAUGAACGAAGGUCCAAGGUCAUCAUCUUCGAUGCGCCCACACUUAUCGGCUGUAAAACGACAGUGACAGAGUAGAGAUGAGGGUCUGUAGCUCAGUCGGUUAGAGCACCGUCUUGAUAAGGCGGGGGUCGUUGGUUCGAAUCCAACCAGACCCACCACAGAUGCCGCAGGGUAUCGAGAAGGGGGAUUAGCUCAGCUGGGAGAGCACCUGCUUUGCAAGCAGGGGGUCGUCGGUUCGAUCCCGUCAUCCUCCACCAGGUCCAUCAUGCAAGCCUGAAUAGGGUGUGUUGAUUGGAUGAUCUACGCUGAUCACGAGUCUUGGCAAACCAAAGCAUAGGAGAAGGCUCCGAAGUGAGUGGUCUCGUGGACUUUGGUUUGCCAACGAAAGAAGGCUGUCGUUCUUUAACAAUUCGUAGAGUCGAAUCAGCGUUGCUGAUGGAAAAGCUGCCGGGGGUAAAGGCCUGGCAGUGUCCGUGCCAUCAGCGACAAUUGAUUGCGUCACCAGACAUCGACGAGAAGCAGUGCGAACUGCGACGAGUCGAGUGUACGGCAAACGUGAAUACUCAAAAACUCUGCUGCGACGAAGUCAGUUGCGGCAGGGUAGUCCUUGACGAUGUCGAGAAGAUCGAUGUCAAAGUUAUAGGGUCAAGUGACUAAGUGCAUGUG
Molecule: unclassified non-coding RNA, 714 nt
Filed under: uncultured bacterium
Lineage: Bacteria
Description: 16S-23S ribosomal RNA intergenic spacer
Rfam family: tRNA (bases 130-203)
Source: RNAcentral